Molecule: unclassified non-coding RNA, 227 nt
Filed under: Hevea brasiliensis (rubber tree)
Lineage: Eukaryota; Viridiplantae; Streptophyta; Magnoliopsida; Malpighiales; Euphorbiaceae
Source: RNAcentral
AAACAUCAUGCACCAAGGAAUACUAUCUUGUAUAUGUUUUAUCUUUUCAAAUAUAUUAAAAAGAAAUAUCGAUUACAAGAAAUCCAUAGCUCUUCAUUAAAUUAUUCAUACAGAAAAAAAAAAACAAAACUCUCAACGGUGAACCAAAAUUUAUUAAAUUUUUUUUAUUUGAUUUUAUUAGGUUCAAACUAAAGAUUUCACGAUUCUGCAAGUGACUCCAAAUAUUG